GCUGGCGGCGUGCUUAACACAUGCAAGUGGUGCGACGAACCAGGGCUUGCCCUGGGGCUAAGCCGCGAACGGGUGAGUAACACGUGAGUAACCUGCCCCGAUGACCGGGACAACCCGAGGAAACUCGGGCUAAUACCGGAUGUGGUGCACAUUCAUAAGUUUGUGUACUAAAGGAAGCUUCGGCCUCCGCAUUGGGAGGGGCUCGCGGCCCAUUAGCUUGUUGGUGGGGUCAAGGCCUACCAAGGCGACGAUGGGUAGCUGGUCUGAGAGGACGAUCAGCCACACUGGGACUGAGACACGGCCCAGACUCCUACGGGAGGCAGCAGUGGGGAAUCUUGCGCAAUGCGCGAAAGCGUGACGCAGCAACGCCGCGUGGGGGAAGACGGCCUUCGGGUUGUAAACCCCUUUCAGGAGGGACGAAGGUUCACCGGUGAAUAGCCGUGUGGAUUGACGGUACCUCCACAAGAAGCUCCGGCUAACUACGUGCCAGCAGCCGCGGUAAUACGUAGGGAGCAAGCGUUGUCCGGAAUCAUUGGGCGUAAAGCGCGCGUAGGUGGCUCCAUAAGUCCGUCGUGAAAGUCAAAGGCUCAACCUUUGAAAGCCGAUGGAUACUGUGGAGCUAGAGUCCGGAAGAGGCG
This 638-nucleotide ribosomal RNA is filed under the name uncultured soil bacterium. RNAcentral describes it as "bacterial SSU rRNA". It matches the Rfam family "Bacterial small subunit ribosomal RNA", at positions 35 to 659 of the family's 1533-position model. The record is from RNAcentral.